This 75-nucleotide small RNA is filed under the name Pseudomonas sp. NFACC24-1. RNAcentral's name for it is "Pseudomonas sRNA P9". It matches the Rfam family "Pseudomonas sRNA P9". Rfam says of the family: P9 appears to be conserved in several Pseudomonas species in addition to Bordetella spp. Lineage: Bacteria; Pseudomonadati; Pseudomonadota; Gammaproteobacteria; Pseudomonadales; Pseudomonadaceae. RNAcentral also lists the same sequence under 1 other name. The record is from RNAcentral.
AGCAUUAUUAUCGCCAUUCCUCAUAAGGCGGGAUAGCACACGGCUGUACCAAAACCCGCCUUAGAGGCGGGUUUU